UACGUAGGGUGCGAGCGUUAAUCGGAAUUACUGGGCGUAAAGCGUGCGCAGGCGGUCAUGCAAGACAGAUGUGAAAUCCCUGGGCUCAACCUGGGAACUGCAUAUGUGACUGUAUGGCUGGAGUACGGCAGAGGGGGAUGGAAUUCCGUGUGUAGCAGUGAAAUGCGUAGAUAUGCGGAGGAACACCGAUGGCGAAGGCAAUCCCCUGGGCCUGUACUGACGCUCAAGCACGAAAGCGUGGGGAGCAAACAGG
Molecule: ribosomal RNA, 253 nt
Filed under: uncultured bacterium
Lineage: Bacteria
Description: partial 16S ribosomal RNA
Rfam family: Bacterial small subunit ribosomal RNA
Source: RNAcentral